GAAACUUCAUGCUUUGAAAUGAGCCCAGUUGUAUUAUAGGACAAUUUUUUUCAUGAAGUUUCAAGUUUAAAUAUCGACAAUUUUUCAUUAAAACUUGAGUGAUUCUUUAAUUUUUCACACCAGUGCAUAUAUAUUGGACCAAUGAUCUGUGACGUACAGAGAUAUCCUUGAUGACACUUUAAAUAAACCAUCCAUCAUCAGGGCAUGCAUCCUCAUCUGAUAUCUUGAAGUACUAAUAACACAGUAUGUGUUACUCACAAUGCGUGAACAGGUCAUAUGUAUAGAACUUCACAAGCUGGCAUGAACUAUUGUAUCUUUAUUGUUUUUAUUAUUAAGCUAAUUUGUACAAAUUACUUGUAUCAGUUUUGUAUUCAAUCAUACAUCUUUUCACACCAAACCAACACCAGGAAUUGCAUAAAUAAUGCAAGUAUUUUUAUCUUUUCAAAACAGGAUCAAGUAGAACAAUUUAUUUAACACAAAUCAUUGAAAUAUAUUUUUUUAUCUUCUACAAUGGCAUUUUAUUAAACUUUUCUAAAUCAUUAUCAAAUUUUACAGAUGUUUAUAUUAUUCAUAAAAUGAUAUAUUAUUAUAAUAUAUUUCAAUUUCCAUCUUUAUAAUAUUAAACAAUGUUGCUAUAUACCUUCCUCAUACUUUCUUGACUAGAUAAUGUAAAUCUUAUUGAAUAUAAUUGCUUAGGAUAUUUUAAGUAUGUAUACGCAGCAUGUGCGGCUUUAAUUAAUAUACAUAAAUAUCACUGAAAGAUUUUUUACUCAAUUUUAAAAAAUAACUUUAAAUGCUUUUGGAAAAUUCAUAUACCAGAAAUCAGUUAGAGAGUAAACUCAACUUAAAGUGAGCUAUUUACCUAAUGAUUGUAUCAUUAAUAAUUUUAAUGAUAUUUAUGUGCAUUGAUUAAAAUGAGAUCUGUAUAUAUAAAAUUUUGAUUAGUAAAUUUGUCGAUUACUACAUGUAUUCUACACUGUCACAUUAAUACUUUCAUAAUUUUAUUAUAUAAAAUUCAAAUUAUCAUCAAAUUUUAUUAAACGAAAAUUAUCACCAAAAAAAUAAAUAUAUAUUUAUAGUAUUUUCAA
This is a long non-coding RNA of Bombus pyrosoma, 1088 nucleotides long. RefSeq lists it as uncharacterized. NCBI's taxonomy places the organism in Eukaryota, Metazoa, Arthropoda, Insecta, Hymenoptera, Apidae. The record is from RefSeq and is a predicted model, not a curated record. The transcript is spliced from 2 exons.